Molecule: ribosomal RNA, 804 nt
Filed under: uncultured bacterium
Lineage: Bacteria
Description: bacterial SSU rRNA
Rfam family: Bacterial small subunit ribosomal RNA
Source: RNAcentral
GCGAGCGGCGGAUGGGUGAGUAACACGUGGGGAACCUGCCCCUAAGUCUGGGAUACCAUUUGGAAACAGGUGCUAAUACCGGAUAAUAAAGCAGAUCGCAUGAUCAGCUUUUGAAAGGCGGCGUAAGCUGUCGCUAAGGGAUGGCCCCGCGGUGCAUUAGCUAGUUGGUAAGGUAACGGCUUACCAAGGCGACGAUGCAUAGCCGAGUUGAGAGACUGAUCGGCCACAUUGGGACUGAGACACGGCCCAAACUCCUACGGGAGGCAGCAGUAGGGAAUCUUCCACAAUGGACGCAAGUCUGAUGGAGCAACGCCGCGUGAGUGAAGAAGGUUUUCGGAUCGUAAAGCUCUGUUGUUGGUGAAGAAGGAUAGAGGUAGUAACUGGCCUUUAUUUGACGGUAAUCAACCAGAAAGUCACGGCUAACUACGUGCCAGCAGCCGCGGUAAUACGUAGGUGGCAAGCGUUGUCCGGAUUUAUUGGGCGUAAAGCGAGCGCAGGCGGAAAAAUAAGUCUAAUGUGAAAGCCCUCGGCUUAACCGAGGAACUGCAUCGGAAACUGUUUUUCUUGAGUGCAGAAGAGGAGAGUGGAACUCCAUGUGUAGCGGUGGAAUGCGUAGAUAUAUGGAAGAACACCAGUGGCGAAGGCGGCUCUCUGGUCUGCAACUGACGCUGAGGCUCGAAAGCAUGGGUAGCGAACAGGAUUAGAUACCCUGGUAGUCCAUGCCGUAAACGAUGAGUGCUAAGUGUUGGGAGGUUUCCGCCUCUCAGUGCUGCAGCUAACGCAUUUAACCACUCCGCCUGGGGA